RNAcentral lists this transfer RNA (72 nucleotides) under Cavia porcellus (domestic guinea pig). It matches the Rfam family "tRNA". Rfam says of the family: Transfer RNA (tRNA) molecules are approximately 80 nucleotides in length. Their secondary structure includes four short double-helical elements and three loops (D, anti-codon, and T loops). Lineage: Eukaryota; Metazoa; Chordata; Mammalia; Rodentia; Caviidae. The record is from Rfam by way of RNAcentral.
UGGAAUACAGCUUAGUGGUAGAGUACUUGUCUAAAAUGCAUUAGGUCCUGGGUUCAACCCCCAGCAUGACAA